This 907-nucleotide ribosomal RNA is filed under the name uncultured bacterium. RNAcentral's name for it is "bacterial SSU rRNA". It matches the Rfam family "Bacterial small subunit ribosomal RNA", at positions 8 to 912 of the family's 1533-position model. The record is from RNAcentral.
AGAGUUUGAUCAUGGCUCAGAUUGAACGCUGGCGGCAUGCUUUACACAUGCAAGUCGAACGGCAGCGCGGGCUUCGGCCUGGCGGCGAGUGGCGAACGGGUGAGUAAUAUAUCGGAACGUACCCAGAAGUGGGGGAUAACGUAGCGAAAGUUACGCUAAUACCGCAUACGAUCUACGGAUGAAAGUAGGGGACCGCAAGGCCUUAUGCUUUUGGAGCGGCCGAUAUCUGAUUAGCUAGUUGGUGAGGUAAUGGCUCACCAAGGCGACGAUCAGUAGCUGGUCUGAGAGGACGACCAGCCACACUGGAACUGAGACACGGUCCAGACUCCUACGGGAGGCAGCAGUGGGGAAUUUUGGACAAUGGGGGCAACCCUGAUCCAGCAAUGUCGCGUGAGUGAAGAAGGCCUUCGGGUUGUAAAGCUCUUUUGUCAGGGAAGAAACGGCUGUGGCUAAUAUCCACGGCUAAUGACGGUACCUGAAGAAUAAGCACCGGCUAACUACGUGCCAGCAGCCGCGGUAAUACGUAGGGUGCAAGCGUUAAUCGGAAUUACUGGGCGUAAAGCGUGCGCAGGCGGUUUUGUAAGUCUGACGUGAAAUCCCCGGGCUUAACCUGGGAAUUGCGUUGGAGACUGCAAGGCUAGAAUCUGGCAGAGGGGGGUAGAAUUCCACGUGUAGCAGUGAAAUGCGUAGAGAUGUGGAGGAACACCGAUGGCGAAGGCAGCCCCCUGGGUCAAGAUUGACGCUCAUGCACGAAAGCGUGGGGAGCAAACAGGAUUAGAUACCCUGGUAGUCCACGCCCUAAACGAUGUCUACUAGUUGUCGGGUCUUAAUUGACUUGGUAACGCAGCUAACGCGUGAAGUAGACCGCCUGGGAGUACGGUCGCAAGAUUAAAACUCAAAGGAAUUG